ACUCCCCGACCCGUCCCCAACCUAACCCGCCUCCUACCGCCGGAUGCAGCCAUCAUGGGCGAGCGAGCGACGGCGUAGCCGGAGCGAGGGAGCCCGCGGCGCCGUGACAGGUAGCUCCUCCGACCCACGCGCUGCCGCCGGCUGGCCGUCCGCACGCCUCCCCGCCGACGGGCUCGCCGGCCCCUCCCCACGCGCCUUCCCUCCGACGGGCGCCGCUCCCUCCGCGCACACCUCCCCGUCGACGGGUGCCGGAUCCUCCCCGCACGCCUCCCCUCCGACGGGCUCGCCGGCCCCUUCCCGCGCGCCUCCCCUCUUACGGGCGCCGGCGCCUCCGCGCCGACGGGCGCUGGCCCGUCACCGUCCGCCUCCCCGCUGGCGUUACUCGUCCCCUCCCCAUGCGCCUCCCCGCGGGCGUUCGCCGGCCCCUACCCGUGAGUCUCCUUGCCGCCGGGCCCUCCCCGUGAAGCUCCCCGCCGCCAUCGACGCCAACUGCUGCCCGCAAACGGGAUGGAUUCAAUGCCCGCUGCCGGAUCCAGCGCCCCCCACCACCAUCUCCCGAUUCACUGCCUGCCGCGCAUGGCGUCGCCCUUCCUUCCUUCCUCUUAAUCUUCUCUGUCAGCCGGCAGUGGCAUCCCAUGUGCUGCAGCUUCCAGCGUCGUCCUCUGCCUUGUCGGCGCACAAGCCGUUCGCCUCAGCCACCCCAGUCCGUUCACAAUUUCCAGCAGAGUCCGUUCAACACUAGUGUGCAGCUACCCGCCUCCUGGAUUUAGUUUUUUUACAUGCUCAAAUGGGAAGCCUGUCUUUGUAUCAGGCUACUCUUCUUACAAACACCUGAACCGAACUCAAUCUCGUGUGUUACCGUCCUCUCAUCUUGUCUGUUUUAUUCUCAGGGACGCAUUCAUGGCUUCAUUCAACAAUUGGACUGUGGGCAGAUGUUGAUCAACAAGUCAGCUAAGGGACUAGGACGCCCUCCUCGCCGCGGCGUCAUUGCUGGCCGUCUGCGGCGGAAGCGGGGUGGCGGCCGGGACCUUGUCGUGCUCGUCUCCGACUACUGUCAAGGAACCUGACAUUAAAAUGAAUCAUCUACAGGCUGGAACAUGGAGCUUGCAGCUUAUGUUUAUUGUAGUUUGAACUUAGGCUCGUCUCUCUCUUGUACUUCAGUUAUUCUUCAGUUUUCAGUAUUGGUGUAGUCUGUAUGGUGAAGAUGAAGUUCCUUUUUGAACUUCUCCGGUUAAUAUAGAUGAACUUGGUCAUAUUUUUUAUAUGUACUUACAUCAGCUCAUCCAGUUGUUCAUGUACUUGUAAUACUAAUCAGUUCAGAUCUUAGAGAAAAAAAUACAGAAGUUCAAAGUCGAUAAAAAGGGGGAUGUUAUUUCUUUGUUGUUAUUUUUUUGCAAGCAGAUGCGACAGACAGAGGCAAGAUGCAAAGUGUGCUAUUUGUUAGAUGUUCAGUACAGAUUUUUCUCUAAGAAAAAAGCAGCAGGAGGCAACAGUUUUGAAUGUGCUAGUUGUAAGUCACUUAGUUGUUAGAUGGUCAUUUCAGAUUUUUGUAGAUGCAACAACUAGUUUGUUUUCUUGUGCUAGUUGAACUAGUCUUGGUUCAUAUAUUUCUCUGAGAAAAAAAAGUAGCAAGAGGCGGCAGUAUUGAAUGAUCUUUGUUAGAUGUUCUGUAAAUAUUAUGGAAUUUUCUGUGGGACACACCUGAACUGAAGUUGUUACCCACAAAAAGAAACUUCAACUUGUUUGAACAUAUACUGGUUAGGUUAAUUAUCAUUACUAUAGCUCUCUGCUAUCCCAUUUGCAUACCCUAUAAUCAAUGAACGAUGUGCGCAUACUUCUGAAUUGUCUUGCCACCGUGGCCGAGUUAGCUUCAACCUGUGUAGUUUAGUCGCCAUAUCUGUGAUGCAUCCGCAGUUAGUUGACCACAACUUGUACAAUUAAAUGCCACCUCUGGUUUCAGGUUUCUUCGUUGUUGUAAGGCUUGUGAAAUAUCUUACCACUGAGGUUGUGGUGCCUUUUUCUUUCAGUAAAAAUUCAGGUUGGGAAGCUUAUUUUUUUCCCAAAGUGAUUGUUUGGGUACUACAAGCUCCCACAGAGUGGAAGCGGUUGUUACAACAGGUUUGAAGUAGAUAUUACACAAGGUUUGAUUUUUCUAGACCAUGUACAAGAACAGUAGCGUACUUAUGCAGUGGUCUGCCUUUUCUUAACUUUAUUUGAUUUUUUUCGUGAAAUAUAUAAAAGCCAGUAGCAGUACUAUUACUUAUUUUACAACAGGUCAUUGACUUAAACUAUAUCAGUUUAGCACAUGUACUUACAAAAACAAAUCAACAGGUUUGUAGGUUUUUUCAGCUCAUCUUGUUGGCUUUUUUGGUUCAUAUUGCAGGCUUUUAGGAUUAGAUUCUCAUGUCUGUUUCAGUAUUAGGGAGAAGUAAAACCAUUCAUUUCUUGUAUAUUUAUUAUUACUGUAGUACUAGCUACUCCGUUCUAGUAGCAUACGGAGUAUGUGAUCAGCUCAUGCAGUAUAUACUAUGCACAAAAUGUCUGUACGGUGCUUUACAUACAAAGAACUUGCUUUCUCUAGACCAUGCAAGCUUCCUCAAAGGAGCUUCCUCAAAGAAGCUUCCUCAAAGGAGCUUUCUCUAGACUUGCCAAUUUAAAAAAAAUGAAGUUCCUGUUUCAGGAUUAUGUAAGUUCAAAAUUAUUGUAUGAUAUGUGUGCCAUGGUUAUCUGGACUUCAAUUCUGACUAAUAUUCCAUUAUAGUACUACUGCAUAUUCACUUCUGAUUGCUUCUUGCUGCCACUAUUUUUAUCAUGAUUUUGUGUGUCCAUCCAGGAGUGUUUUUGUUUCUGUAGGUCAGCUGCUCAACAACAGAA
Molecule: long non-coding RNA, 2874 nt
Organism: Aegilops tauschii subsp. strangulata
Lineage: Eukaryota; Viridiplantae; Streptophyta; Magnoliopsida; Poales; Poaceae
Source: RefSeq, a predicted model, not a curated record